ACAAGAUGCGGACCGUCGGUCUACCGAGCAAAUGUUACCCGCUCGGUGGAAGAUCUUCCCUUUGUCGU
Molecule: microRNA precursor, 68 nt
Filed under: Bombyx mori (domestic silkworm)
Lineage: Eukaryota; Metazoa; Arthropoda; Insecta; Lepidoptera; Bombycidae
Description: mir-2774 microRNA precursor family
Rfam family: mir-2774 microRNA precursor family
Source: Rfam by way of RNAcentral